This 239-nucleotide ribosomal RNA is filed under the name uncultured bacterium. RNAcentral describes it as "partial 16S ribosomal RNA". It matches the Rfam family "Bacterial small subunit ribosomal RNA", at positions 109 to 334 of the family's 1533-position model. The record is from RNAcentral.
CGUAACACGUGGGUAACCUGCCUGGAUGCGGGGGACAACUUGGGGAAACUCGAGCUAAUACCGCAUACGCUCCGAGGACCACGGUCCGAGGAGGAAAGAUGGCCUCUUCUUGAAAGCUAUCGCUUCCAGAGGGACCCGCGCUCGAUUAGCUAGUUGGUGGGGUAACGGCUCACCAAGGCGACGAUCGAUAGCCGGCCUGAGAGGGUGAUCGGCCACACUGGGACUGAGACACGGCCCAG